This is a long non-coding RNA of Chroicocephalus ridibundus (black-headed gull), 2181 nucleotides long. RefSeq lists it as uncharacterized. The transcript is spliced from 5 exons. NCBI's taxonomy places the organism in Eukaryota, Metazoa, Chordata, Aves, Charadriiformes, Laridae. The record is from RefSeq and is a predicted model, not a curated record.
ACAAGAAGCUGGGGAGGGGACACAGCCAGGACAGCUGACCCCAAAGCGAUGUCCCAUGCCAUGUGACGUCUUGCUCAGUAACAAAAGCUGGGGGAAAGACGGAGGAAGUGGGAGGACAUUUGGAGUUAUGGUGUUUGUCUGCCCAAGUAACCAUUAUGCGUGAUGGAGCCCUGCUUUCCUGGAGAUGGCUGAACAUCAACCUGCUGAUGGGAAGUAGUGAAUUAAUUCCUUGUGUUGUUUUCCUUUGCAUGCAGCUUUUGCUUUGCCUAUUAAACUGUCUUUAUCUCAACCCACAAGUUUUCUCACUUUUCCCCUUCUGAUUCUCCUCCCCAUCCUGCUGUGAGCCGCUGCCUGCAGGGGUUAAACCACACCAGUGCAUUGAUGGAUUUAUGCUCUCUAUCCUGGGAGGAGACAACUGCGGUAUCAAAACACAAAAACGCAAGUCAAACAUCAGAACUCACAAACACUCAGGAAUUAUUUGUCUAAUAUAUAAUUGCAGUUGUACAUUUAAAUGGUGCAACAUCAAUAGUUUUGUCACAACCACAGACACACGAAGCAUAAAUAGUAACGUAACGGUCAUUAUUGAAUGCUGGCUUUUAAUUAACUGCUUUUCUUUCGGGGCAAAUCAAGUUUAAUAUAAUUAUUGAUAAGGCUAUUUUGGUUUAUCUGGUUCUUCCUUGCUAUUAUCUUGGUAUUAUUUGAAUUGACUUCAAUAUUAAAUUCUUUCAUGUAGGGGCCUGUCCAGAUGGGCCACGCAGCAAGGCAGGCACCUGGUUGGCAGGCGACAGCCUGUCCUUUCACUGCAGCACGACCUCGGUUCUCUUCAAUAAAGUUCUCCUCUGCUCUACCUCUUCAACACUUGAGAGAUGCAUCCAGCCACAUUCCUUUUAAGUUCUUUCAAAACAAAACAAUUGCAGAAGUGCCUGCCUGCAGUCUGGGAGUGUAUUUUCUCAUGCUCUAAUCUGAUAAAUUUAGAUGAACAGUUGAAGACAUUCAGCAAGUGAAAUGAGUUUUGAAGCAGGACGACCUGGGCAUGAGUAUCUGCAUAGGAGAAGAUGAGAAUUAGCCAAAUAGCGGUGGUUUGAAAGGGAAGAGGAAUCUGCAAACAAUAUCAGAUAUGCCGCAGUUACUCAUGGAAAUUAAGAACAAAAUGAGAAUACUCUAAGGAAAAGAAUUGAACUGGAGUUCCCUGGUGAUGAGAAUAGCAGGGGAGGAAGGUGCCACGCUUACGCCAGAUGAGAGUACCUGUCUCAGGGGGAGAAGGUUGCUACCUGGCUCUGCGUGGGUGGUGCUCCAGCAGGGUGGCCUGAGAAAAGUGAAGGUGAUUACGGGCAUUUAACCAAAUCAGCAAGAGUGGGGAUUAGCGUCUCACCACUUGUCAUCACCAGCUGACAUUCUUGAACAGCAUAGGUGGCUUUUCCAUCUAUCAGGCACACAAAAAUAACCAAAGUUUUUCUUCUAAAGAGAUAGAAAAUGUUACACAAUGGGGACAUUAACUAGGUUAUCUCGCCCCUCUCUGCAAUAACAUGAGUGAUUAUGGCAUAACUAAUGUAAAUAUGGAUAUAUUUUAGUAUUCCUGCCUCUUAAAGGAAAGGAGAAACCAAUUUUAAGCUUUUCUAGAUUUCACACAUUUUCCAGAUAUUUUUAGCUUCACCUCCAAAAUGUUCAUGUUUUUCUCCUCCCUUAACUUUUUCUAAAUUGUGACUCAAACUCUCAGAAUACGGGGGAAAAAAAGACCAUUCCUGGAGAGUUUUUAGCACGACUGACCUUAUGAGUAAAACAUACAGGUUUUCUGCUUAGUGACAGUCAUCCCAGAUACUCCAGUGUGUAAUGAGCCUGUGGGGUGACCCGACAGCAUAGUCACGCAGCAAAUCUCCUGGAAGGUCUGUUCCAAGCAGAUUUCUCAAACUCAAAUGAUUUCUUGUCUGUAUUUAAGAUCCGUAUAUUUUAGAGAUAUACUCCCAAUAAUUGCACCAUGUGCUUGUGAUACUGCAUUGUUUUUAGCGAUUAGAAUGCUAAAUUCAGGAAAUAAAGUGAUCACCAUUAUUGGCACUUUUGUUAACUGAAUGAAACCUCUGAUGUUUUCCAAGUUUGCAUACGCCUGACUUCGUUCCAUUAUAAGCUCGUUCUCAGAUUAAACACAGUUCAUGACACUUCAAUGUGUUAACUCUGCUUCAUGAU